GAUGAACGCUGGCGGCGUGCCUAAUACAUGCAAGUCGAGCGAACGGACGAGAAGCUUGCUUCUCUGAUGUUAGCGGCGGACGGGUGAGUAACACGUGGAUAACCUACCUAUAAGACUGGGAUAACUUCGGGAAACCGGAGCUAAUACCGGAUAAUAUUUUGAACCGCAUGGUUCAAAAGUGAAAGACGGUCUUGCUGUCACUUAUAGAUGGAUCCGCGCUGCAUUAGCUAGUUGGUAAGGUAACGGCUUACCAAGGCAACGAUGCAUAGCCGACCUGAGAGGGUGAUCGGCCACACUGGAACUGAGACACGGUCCAGACUCCUACGGGAGGCAGCAGUAGGGAAUCUUCCGCAAUGGGCGAAAGCCUGACGGAGCAACGCCGCGUGGGGGAUGAAGGUCUUCGGAUCGUAAAACUCUGUUAUUAGGGAAGAACAUAUGUGUAAGUAACUGUGCACAUCUUGACGGUACCUAAUCAGAAAGCCACGGCUAACUACGUG
This 497-nucleotide ribosomal RNA is filed under the name uncultured bacterium. RNAcentral's name for it is "partial 16S ribosomal RNA". It matches the Rfam family "Bacterial small subunit ribosomal RNA", at positions 28 to 507 of the family's 1533-position model. The record is from RNAcentral.